GACAGAGGGGGCAAGCGUUGCUCGGAAUCACUGGGCGUAAAGGGCGCGUAGGCGGGAUGGCAAGUCAGUCGUGAAAUCUCUCGGCUCAACCGAGAAACGUCGGCUGAUACUGCCGUUCUUGAGGGAUGCAGAGGAGACUGGAAUUCCCGGUGUAGCGGUGAAAUGUGUAGAGAUCGGGAGGAACACCGGUGGCGAAGGCGGGUCUCUGGGCAUCUCCUGACGCUGAGGCGCGAAAGCCAGGGGAGCAAACGGG
RNAcentral lists this ribosomal RNA (253 nucleotides) under uncultured bacterium. Its description in RNAcentral is "partial 16S ribosomal RNA". It matches the Rfam family "Bacterial small subunit ribosomal RNA", at positions 524 to 776 of the family's 1533-position model. The record is from RNAcentral.